GGAAUAUUGCGCAAUGGACGAAAGUCUGACGCAGCGACGCCGCGUGGGUGAUGAAGGCCUUCGGGUCGUAAAGCCCUGUCGAAAGGGAAGAAACACGAUUUGGCUAAUAUCCAAGUCGCUUGACGGUACCUUUAAAGGAAGCACCGGCUAACUACGUGCCAGCAGCCGCGGUAAUACGUAGGGUGCUAGCGUUGUUCGGAAUCAUUGGGCGUAAAGCGCGUGUAGGUGGUCAGUAAAGUUGGGUGUGAAA
This 250-nucleotide ribosomal RNA is filed under the name uncultured bacterium. RNAcentral describes it as "partial 16S ribosomal RNA". It matches the Rfam family "Bacterial small subunit ribosomal RNA", at positions 358 to 599 of the family's 1533-position model. The record is from RNAcentral.